UUUAUAUUACAUGGAUAAGAUUCCAGAUUUGGUGUUUGGGUUUAUAUGUGACAUUUGAACUUAUGUGUGAUUUUUAAGCACAACGAGUGUUUGGGAAUAGAUGGACUGAGAUACAAAGGUGGAUUCAGGCAGAAAGGAUAAGGCUGUGAACAGGUUUACGAGACUUCGUGUGAAGAGAGCCAAGCAUGAAACUAUGGCUAGCGAGAACAACUCAAACAAUAAAAGAAUGUUCUUCUUAGAUGGUAGUUGUACUCCAGCGAAUAUGAAACUCUUAUUGCCAAUAGAACAAGGAUCUAGCUCCAUGUAAGUUCUUCUCUUCCAGGAUAGCUGCCUUACAUUACACGUUAUGUCUCCACAGUGAGUUAUUUAUGAGCAUCACAAGGUGGAAACUUUCCUCACUCCCUCAUGAGUGACUGGAGGACAAUCUAAAACUAUUAGUCUGGACAAGCGAAAGUUAACAAUCCUCUUUGACAACCCCAACAUCUGAAAAUGGAAGGAAAAAGCCUUUUGCUGGAUCCUUUUUAUGCAGAAGGAAUCGUCCGUCAGAAAAUGGAUCGAAACGGUGGCUAUUGAUGCAGCCAAAGACAUGGUACUGUCAAAGGAACAAUGGAUGUUAAAGAACUUGUGCUUUUACUGGCCAAAAACUCAAUGAACCAUCAAUCUCUUCUUCUGGUCAAAGACUGUGCCACCCCUCCCGCCUUAAAGAAAGAAGUCUCGGCUGCAGGAGAAAGAGACAAAGAAGGAAGGGAAGUUGGAGAGAAGAAAACAGAGGGUGGCUAGAAGAAGAAAGAAGUUGUUGACGGCAGAGAAGAGAGAAAACGAAAGAUGUUGGAGCUGGCAGGAAGAAGAAGAAAGAAGCCAGGCGUGGUGAGAAGAAGUGGGGUCAAAUCAUUGUCACACGUAAGAUUAUAAGUUCAUACAAGUAUAUGCAUUGUCUUAAAUUUUUCUGACGGACAUCUCUAUAACUAUAAUUUUCAACUACUACCAAAAUAAAACUUGGAAGGAACGAGAAAUAUUGUAUACACUCUAAUCUAAUAAAGUUAUAACUAUUAUUCUUAA
Molecule: long non-coding RNA, 1059 nt
Organism: Brassica napus (rape)
Lineage: Eukaryota; Viridiplantae; Streptophyta; Magnoliopsida; Brassicales; Brassicaceae
Exons: 5
Source: RefSeq, a predicted model, not a curated record